GACGAACGCUGGCGGCGUGCUUAACAUAUGCAAGUCGAACGGAAAGGCCCUGCUUUUGUGGGGUGCUCGAGUGGCGAACGGGUGAGUAACACGUGAGUAACCUGCCCUUGACUUUGGGAUAACUUCAGGAAACUGGGGCUAAUACCGGAUAGGAGCUCCUGCUGCAUGGUGGGGGUUGGAAAGUUUCGGCGGUUGGGGAUGGACUCGCGGCUUAUCAGCUUGUUGGUGGGGUAGUGGCUUACCAAGGCUUUGACGGGUAGCCGGCCUGAGAGGGUGACCGGCCACAUUGGGACUGAGAUACGGCCCAGACUCCUACGGGAGGCAGCAGUGGGGAAUAUUGCACAAUGGGCGGAAGCCUGAUGCAGCAACGCCGCGUGCGGGAUGACGGCCUUCGGGUUGUAAACCGCUUUCGCCUGCGACGAAGCGUGAGUGACGGUAAUGGGUAAAGAAGCACCGGCUAACUACGUG
This 468-nucleotide ribosomal RNA is filed under the name uncultured bacterium. RNAcentral's name for it is "partial 16S ribosomal RNA". It matches the Rfam family "Bacterial small subunit ribosomal RNA", at positions 28 to 507 of the family's 1533-position model. The record is from RNAcentral.